Molecule: long non-coding RNA, 1014 nt
Filed under: Fragaria vesca (wild strawberry)
Lineage: Eukaryota; Viridiplantae; Streptophyta; Magnoliopsida; Rosales; Rosaceae
Description: long non-coding RNA (FVES_LNC004605)
Source: RNAcentral
UUCAAAUGUGGUAUUGGGCAAUGAUUAACUAAAUCAUGCCGUAUUGUCCUCAAAUGAUCUUUUACACUUAGAUCUUGAGGAGAAGGUUGCUUGUGAACUCAAAACAUAAGUUCGUGCAGGAAAUCAGAUUUCCGCGCAGCAUGACCUUCAAUUACUAGAACAGUCGUAACUUUCUCUAGGAAAUACAUAUGAACGAACCGUAAACGGUUUUGGAAACUAGACUCAUUUAGCUUUCCAACCGUAUAUUACACACGUUCUGGUUCCUCAGGAGCUAUUCACAACAUUCCGUCGAAGUUGACUGUUUUGCUAAAAUCAGAUUCUCGGACAGAUUCGUCCUACUUUACGAAAACGGCCAUAACUCACUCAAUAUGAUAGGUAUGAUCAAAUGGUUGGUGUCCCUGGAAAGUAGACACAUAGACCUUUCCAAUGGUACCAAUUUCACCAUUUUCCAGUGAGUGAGAUUUCCUAUAGGUCUCGUGGAAGUUGACCUACAAAAAUUGGCAGAUUCUGAUUUCGCUUUUGAUGUGUCUUUCUUAUGUAGGGAUAGAAUAAGCCUCAACCUUUCAUACCAUUAAGUAUUGAAAAAGGAGUUACUGCCAUUACAUUGGCGUUACGUGGGCGCAUAGCUACACUUAGCUUUACAACUUUUCAUAGCGAAUGAGAUGUCAAGUCUUUUGUAUUGUGUUGAGUACAUUGAUGCGUCUCUUUGUACUUAGAUGGGAACUCCAUCUCUUAACACAUAUUUGUCAUCUUGCUUUAGACAAAACAACGGAUCUCUCUUUAGAGCAAAGACCUUGACUAAUCAUGGGAGUAUAUGUAGGCCUCACUAGUUAUAGAGCGCCUAAGCCGAUUGAUCAUCAAUACAGUCAUCGAGUGCCUUAUCGAGACUGUGUCUUCCCAAGAUCUUUUUCUUCGGAUGUUGAUACAUAUUGGCAUCUCUUGAUCCAUCAAGAGUCCAUGUAAAUCCGGAAUGAACACGCAAAGGCAUAAUUCACCAUAUCCCUUCCAAAUCAA